RNAcentral lists this transfer RNA (70 nucleotides) under Dipodomys ordii (Ord's kangaroo rat). It matches the Rfam family "tRNA". Rfam says of the family: Transfer RNA (tRNA) molecules are approximately 80 nucleotides in length. Their secondary structure includes four short double-helical elements and three loops (D, anti-codon, and T loops). Further hydrogen bonds mediate the characteristic L-shaped molecular structure. tRNAs have two regions of fundamental functional importance: the anti-codon, which is responsible for specific mRNA codon recognition, and the 3' end, to which the tRNAs corresponding amino acid is attached (by aminoacyl-tRNA synthetases). tRNAs cope with the degeneracy of the genetic code in two manners: having more than one tRNA (with a specific anti-codon) for a particular amino acid; and 'wobble' base-pairing, i.e. permitting non-standard base-pairing at the 3rd anti-codon position. Lineage: Eukaryota; Metazoa; Chordata; Mammalia; Rodentia; Heteromyidae. The record is from Rfam by way of RNAcentral.
GGGAAUGUGGCUUAGUGGCAGAGUGCUUGUCUAGCAUUCAUGAGAUCCUGGGUUCGAUUCCUCAGUACCA